This 333-nucleotide ribosomal RNA is filed under the name Triticum aestivum (bread wheat). Its description in RNAcentral is "partial small subunit ribosomal RNA". Lineage: Eukaryota; Viridiplantae; Streptophyta; Magnoliopsida; Poales; Poaceae. The record is from RNAcentral.
AUGAGAACCUGCAUAAAGCCGAUGGAGCACUGGAGGAAGCCAUCACAUGGCUCAGUGAAACUAAACGUUGAUGGCUCGUGGGUUCAUGAAGAAGGUAUAGGAGGCGCCGGUAUGAUUCUCCGGGAUGAUACAUGUGCUGUCAUUUUUUUAUCGUGUCGAUUCAUCCCACGCUGUGUGAGUGCACUCGAAGCGGAGAUGGCCCGCAUCAAGGAGGGGGUGACCCUUGCACUGGAUAACAACAUGGAGCAUCUUGUUAUUGAGACGGACUGUGCGACGGCAGCACAUAUGAUCAAUGGCCAAAGCUCAGAUAGAUCACCGGUGGCAGGAUGGUAA